RNAcentral lists this long non-coding RNA (208 nucleotides) under Olea europaea (common olive). RNAcentral describes it as "long non-coding RNA (OEUR_LNC000841)". Lineage: Eukaryota; Viridiplantae; Streptophyta; Magnoliopsida; Lamiales; Oleaceae. The record is from RNAcentral.
AGGAUACAACAUAUCUAAGGAUUUUUUAAGGGAGAAUUCAAAGUUGCUGGGGUCUCCAAUCUAUUUGUGAAUUGUGAUGUCACAAGUAGUUGGUCCCCGAACCCUCUUAUAUAUUGAUCGAUAUUUCGAUAUUUAAUCGAUUUGAAAUUUAUCCCUUAACAUACUUCACAAGAUGGUGUAUCGUUUGAAUAUACCAAUCUUGAAAUUU